CAAGUGUGAGCGCCGCUUGUCGUGUCUAUACACACGACGGUCGUUUUCCGUCGUAGUCGAAGACUGCUGUCUUGUUGUACGGUAGGUGUUUCUAAGAAUGGAUGGCUGCUGCUAGGUAUGAAGACAUAUCUUGGGAAGCAUGUACAGCUCAAAUGCUUAUGCACCGUCCACCGCUAAUACCUAUUCCUUCAUGCACUUAUUUCUGCAUGUUCUGGAGUCGACUGAAGACGUUUUCAUCUGUGUUUUUCACCCCCGUCCUUUCGGCCAACGUCAAGAAAGAUGACAACGACAGUUGUAUCAUCUAUAACGUCGUCCUCAAGCCUCCACCGCCGAUUGGCUUCUUCGAUGAGGCCAUCGCAGGCACCGAGAGGGUCUCUGGAAUCGAGGAAGCGAGAGACAAUCUGAGUCACUUCUUCGUUGGUCAUGAACUCCCAAAGGCCAUCAGAGGCAAUGACGAUGAAAUCGUCUUGAGGCGUAAGAGAAACCACUGAAAUUUCUGGCUCACCAAUGACUCCAACGGAGGCUGCUAAGGAAUCGCCUAGGGAUCGCGACAUCGCGAGGCCUGGCGCAUCGCAGUCUUUUCUCCAGACCCUGAAAACGUAAAAGGUGGAACCGCGCAGACAUGAACACUACUGUGUCACUGAAGAUGCACGUCCGUGAGUCACCGUAUCAAUUGAGAGGAAAAUCUUCGUCAAUACGCUUUCUGGGAAGCUGUUGUCAGGAGUUUCGAAGAAACAUUGAGCUUGUCCUCCUUCAUCUUCUCGACAAAACAGUUUAUCGUGUCCGCUCUACGCCUUAUUCAGUGCGACGCCUAGAUGCCAGGAAUUAAACAUCGCCUACGCGAUGCGUGUCGUCCGCGGGCAAUGCGGCGAGACAGAGUCGGUAGUGUGUGUUGUAAGGAGCCGCUUGCUGUUUCCGUGGAAGAUGAACCUCCAAGUAACUGGUUCCUAAUGGUUUCUGCUGUGUUUCUUUUGGGUAAAAUGGCC
Molecule: long non-coding RNA, 986 nt
Filed under: Toxoplasma gondii VEG
Lineage: Eukaryota; Apicomplexa; Conoidasida; Eucoccidiorida; Sarcocystidae
Source: RNAcentral